UACGUAGGGGCCUAGCGUUGUCCGGAUUUAUUGGGCGUAAAGAGCUCGUAGGUGGUUUGGUAAGUCGGAUGUGAAAUCUCCAGGCUCAACCUGGAGGGGUCAUUCGAUACUGCCAUGACUAGAGGUCGGUAGGGGAGUGUGGAAUUCCUGGUGGAGCGGUGAAAUGCGCAGAUAUCAGGAGGAACACCCGUAGCGAAGGCGGCACUCUGGGCCGAUUCUGACACUGAGGAGCGAAAGCGUGGGGAGCGAACAGG
This 254-nucleotide ribosomal RNA is filed under the name uncultured bacterium. Its description in RNAcentral is "partial 16S ribosomal RNA". It matches the Rfam family "Bacterial small subunit ribosomal RNA", at positions 524 to 776 of the family's 1533-position model. The record is from RNAcentral.